This 172-nucleotide ribosomal RNA is filed under the name uncultured Hyphomicrobium sp. RNAcentral's name for it is "partial 16S ribosomal RNA". It matches the Rfam family "Bacterial small subunit ribosomal RNA", at positions 335 to 524 of the family's 1533-position model. Lineage: Bacteria; Pseudomonadati; Pseudomonadota; Alphaproteobacteria; Hyphomicrobiales; Hyphomicrobiaceae. The record is from RNAcentral.
ACUCCUACGGGAGGCAGCAGUGGGGAAUAUUGGACAAUGGGCGCAAGCCUGAUCCAGCCAUGCCGCGUGAGUGACGAAGGCCUUAGGGUUGUAAAGCUCUUUUGGCGGGGACGAUAUUGACGGUACCCGCAGAAUAAGCUCCGGCUAACUUCGUGCCAGCAGCCGCGGUAAU